CUGGGCCUUUCCUGACGCUGAGGAGCGAAAGCGUGGGGAGCGAACAGGCUUAGAUACCCUGGUAGUCCACGCUGUAAACGGUGGGUACUAGGUGUGGGGUCCAUUCCACGGGUUCCGUGCCGUAGCUAACGCUUUAAGUACCCCGCCUGGGGAGUACGGCCGCAAGGCUAAAACUCAAAGGAAUUGACGGGGCCCCGCACAAGCGGCGGAGCAUGCGGAUUAAUUCGAUGCAACGCGUAGAACCUUACCUGGGUUUGACAUGGAUCGGGAGUGCUCAGAGAUGGGUGUGCCUCUUUUGGGGUCGGUUCACAGGUGGUGCAUGGCUGUCGUCAGCUCGUGUCGUGAGAUGUUGGGUUAAGUCCCGCAACGAGCGCAACCCUUGUUCACUGUUGCCAGCACGUUAUGGUGGGGACUCAGUGGAGACCGCCGGGGUCAACUCGGAGGAAGGUGGGGAUGACGUCAAGUCAUCAUGCCCCUUAUGUCCAGGGCUUCACGCAUGCUACAAUGGCUGGUACAGAGAGUGGCGAGCCUGUGAGGGUGAGCGAAUCUCGGAAAGCCGGUCUCAGUUCGGAUUGGGGUCUGCAACUCGACCUCAUGAAGUCGGAGUCGCUAGUAAUCGCAGAUCAGCAACGCUGCGGUGAAUACGUUCCCGGGGCUUGUACACACCGCCCGUCAAGUCAUGAAAGUUGGUAACACCCGAAGCCGGUGGCCUAACCAUAGUGGGGGAGCCGUCGAAGGUGGGACUGGUGAUUAGGCCU
RNAcentral lists this ribosomal RNA (758 nucleotides) under uncultured organism. Its description in RNAcentral is "SSU rRNA". It matches the Rfam family "Bacterial small subunit ribosomal RNA", at positions 729 to 1482 of the family's 1533-position model. The record is from RNAcentral.